GCCAAAAAUCUAGCCCAAACACAACAAAUGAACUACCCCCUUCCUUUUAAUACCUAUUAAAACAUUUUAACAUCAUAGUAAAGGAGAUUGAAAUUUUAUCCAGGCGCUAUACCUUAGUACCGCAAGGGAAAGAUGAAAUAAAAAUGAAAACUCAUAAGCACAAAAAAGUAAAGACUAAUCCUUGUACCUUUCGCAUCAUGGUUUAACUAGUCUAACCAAGCGGAAAGACUUUAAGUUUGACCCCCCGAAACUAAGUGAGCUACUCCAAGGCAGCUUUUAGAGCCAACCCGUCUCUGUAGCAAAAGAGUGGGAAGACCUUCGAGUAGGGGUGACAGACCUAACGAACUUAGUGAUAGCUGGUUGUUUGAGAAAAGGAUUUAAGUCCAGCCUAAAAUUACUCCAAUGCACCUUAAUGCUUCAACAAUUUUAGAGUAAUUCAAGCAAGGUACAGCCUGCUUGAAACAGGGUACAACCUAAACCUGAGGGUAAUAUUCUCCAUGCAGUGAUUAAGUAGGCCUGAAAGCAGCCAUCUUUUAAAAAGCGUCAUAGCUUUACCACGUAGGACAUAAUUAUUAACUUAGUUAAGAACCCCACUCCCCUAUCAAACAAUUCUAUAACCCCUAUAGAAACUUUUAUGUUAAAACUAGUAACAAGAAUAAAAAAUUCUCUUUAAUGCAAAUGUAAAUCAGACAGGAUAUUCCACUGAUAAUUAACACCCAUGAUCCAAAAGGAGUAACCCAGCAAGAAAACCCUCCUCCCCCAGGCGUUAACCUAACACAAGAGCAUUCUAAGAAAGAUUAAAAGAGUAAGAAGGAACUCGGCAAAAUUUAACCCCGCCUGUUUACCAAAAACAUCGCCUCUUGAUAAACCCAUAAGAGGUCCAGCCUGCCCAGUGACCCUGUUCAACGGCCGCGGUAUCCUAACCGUGCGAAGGUAGCGUAAUCACUUGUUCUUUAAAUGAGGACUAGUAUGAAUGGCACCACGAAGGUUAUACUGUCUCCUUCCCCUAAUCAGUGAAACUAAUCUUCCCGUGAAGAAGCGGGAAUAAACCUAUAAGACGAGAAGACCCUAUGGAGCUUUAAACACAGUAAUAACUGCCCCUCACCCCUAUGUAUCUCCGGAAAAAACUACCUUACCUGGGCACCCUAAUUACAAGUUUUAGGUUGGGGUGACCGCGGAGCAAAAAAUAACCUCCACAGUGAAUGGGACUCUUCCCCUAAAUUCAGGACCACAGCCCUAAAAAUCAAUAAAUUGACACCCAUUGACCCAAUAUUUUUGAUCAAUGAACCAAGUUACCCUAGGGAUAACAGCGCAAUCCACUUCAAGAGCUCCUAUCGACAAGUGGGUUUACGACCUCGAUGUUGGAUCAGGGUACCCCAGUGGUGCAGCCGCUGCUAAAGGUUCGUUUGUUCAACGAUUAAAACCCUACGUG
RNAcentral lists this ribosomal RNA (1432 nucleotides) under Leptodactylus validus. RNAcentral's name for it is "partial 16S ribosomal RNA". It matches the Rfam family "Bacterial large subunit ribosomal RNA", at positions 150 to 2602 of the family's 2925-position model. The record is from RNAcentral. Lineage: Eukaryota; Metazoa; Chordata; Amphibia; Anura; Leptodactylidae.